AGUAACGCGUGGGAACGUACCCAGAUCUAAGGAAUAGCCACUGGAAACGGUGAGUAAUACCUUAUACGCCCUUCGGGGGAAAGAUUUAUCGGAUUUGGAUCGGCCCGCGUUAGAUUAGGUAGUUGGUGGGGUAAUGGCCUACCAAGCCUACGAUCUAUAGCUGGUUUUAGAGGAUGAUCAGCAACACUGGGACUGAGACACGGCCCAGACUCCUACGGGAGGCAGCAGUGGGGAAUCUUAGACAAUGGGGGAAACCCUGAUCUAGCCAUGCCGCGUGAGUGACGAAGGCCUUAGGGUCGUAAAGCUCUUUCGCUGGGGAAGAUAAUGACUGUACCCAGUAAAGAAACCCCGGCUAACUCCGUGCCAGCAGCCGCGGUAAUACGGAGGGGGUUAGCGUUGUUCGGAAUUACUGGGCGUAAAGCGCACGUAGGCGGAUUAGAAAGUUGGGGGUGAAAUCCCGGGGCUCAACCUCGGAACGGCCUCCAAAACUCCUAGUCUAGAGUUCGAGAGAGGUGAGUGGAAUUCCAAGUGUAGAGGUGAAAUUCGUAGAUAUUUGGAGGAACACCAGUGGCGAAGGCGGCUCACUGGCUCGAUACUGACGCUGAGGUGCGAAAGUGUGGGGAGCAAACAGGAUUAGAUACCCUGNUAG
This 649-nucleotide ribosomal RNA is filed under the name uncultured Roseovarius sp. RNAcentral's name for it is "bacterial SSU rRNA". It matches the Rfam family "Bacterial small subunit ribosomal RNA", at positions 109 to 793 of the family's 1533-position model. Lineage: Bacteria; Pseudomonadati; Pseudomonadota; Alphaproteobacteria; Rhodobacterales; Roseobacteraceae. The record is from RNAcentral.